GGAUAACUUACCCUUAGGACUGGGAUAACUCUGGGAAACUGGGGAUAAUACUGGAUAUUAGGCUAUGCCUGGAAUGGUUUGCCUUUGAAAUGUUUUUUCGCCUAAGGAUAGGUCUGCGGCUGAUUAGGUCGUUGGUGGGGUAAUGGCCCACCAAGCCGAUGAUCGGUACGGGUUGUGAGAGCAAGGGCCCGGAGAUGGAACCUGAGACAAGGUUCCAGACCCUACGGGGUGCAGCAGGCGCGAAACCUCCGCAAUGUACGAAAGUGCGACGGGGGGAUCCCAAGUGUUAUGCUUUUUUGUAUGACUUUUCAUUAGUGUAAAAAGCUUUUAGAAUAAGAGCUGGGCAAGACCGGUGCCAGCCGCCGCGGUAACACCGGCAGCUCGAGUGGUAGCUGUUUUUAUUGGGCCUAAAGCGUUCGUAGCCGGUUUGAUAAGUCUUUGGUGAAAGCUUGUAGCUUAACUAUAAGAAUUGCUGGAGAUACUAUUAGACUUGAAGUCGGGAGAGGUUAGAGGUACUACCGGGGUAGGGGUGAAAUCCUAUAAUCCUG
Molecule: ribosomal RNA, 548 nt
Filed under: uncultured archaeon
Lineage: Archaea
Description: bacterial SSU rRNA
Rfam family: Archaeal small subunit ribosomal RNA
Source: RNAcentral